Molecule: small nuclear RNA, 164 nt
Filed under: Pongo abelii (Sumatran orangutan)
Lineage: Eukaryota; Metazoa; Chordata; Mammalia; Primates; Hominidae
Description: U1 spliceosomal RNA (ENSPPYG00000034123.1)
Rfam family: U1 spliceosomal RNA
About the family: U1 is a small nuclear RNA (snRNA) component of the spliceosome (involved in pre-mRNA splicing). Its 5' end forms complementary base pairs with the 5' splice junction, thus defining the 5' donor site of an intron.
Source: Rfam by way of RNAcentral
AGACUUACCUGGCAGGGAAGAUGCGAUGAUCGCGAAGGUGGUUUUCCCAGGGCGAGGCUUAUCCAUUGCACUCCGGAUGUGCUGAUCCCUACGAUUUCCCCAAAUGUGGGAAGCUCGACUGCAUAAUUUGUGGUAGUGGGGGACUGCAUUCGCGCUUUCCCCUG